This 403-nucleotide long non-coding RNA is filed under the name Mus musculus (house mouse). Its description in RNAcentral is "long non-coding RNA chr11:14487612-14488015". The record is from RNAcentral. Lineage: Eukaryota; Metazoa; Chordata; Mammalia; Rodentia; Muridae.
UCCCCAAAUUUUCAUAGGAGCGUUCUGGGACUGACUUGACUCAAGAAGUUUGGUUUUCCUAUUAUGUAGUUUUCAUAGCUCAUUACUAUUUCUUAGCUUAUUAAUAUAAGAAUGACAUCCCCGUGGAUAGGAAUGAAAGAAUAGCAGUGAUGUUUUCCAGAAAAGUUACAUUUGAGUUGACACACAACUGGAGCUCUGAAGCAACUCAGAUUCUCAAGCAUUUGGUCCCAUUGGGAAUACUGUUCCUGAGACCUACAGUGCCUAUAAGAUAUAUGAAGAACUGGGAUUCACAUUUAUGAAGAAACCUGAGGAUGGUAAAAGGAAAGGUCUGUCAUUUGUUCAAGAUCCUUUUAGCUACUAGGUUGAGAUUCUUAAUCAUAACAAAAUAGGAACGAUUACUUAG